RNAcentral lists this ribosomal RNA (719 nucleotides) under Botrylloides aff. leachii JD-2017. RNAcentral describes it as "eukaryotic LSU rRNA". It matches the Rfam family "Eukaryotic large subunit ribosomal RNA", at positions 77 to 608 of the family's 3401-position model. Lineage: Eukaryota; Metazoa; Chordata; Ascidiacea; Stolidobranchia; Styelidae. The record is from RNAcentral.
CCCCGAGUAACGGCGAGUGAAUCGGGAACAGUCCAGCGCUGAAUCUGCACGUUCUUGAAGCGUGCCGAGUUGUGGCGUAAGGAAGUCUCUGUGCGGUCGUCGGCGAGCGUCGCUGUCCUUCUGAUCGAGGCCUCAUCCCGGUGCGGGUGUCAGGCCCAUAAGGGCGCUUGCCGCGGCCGCUUCGAGUCUUCCCGGAGUCGGGUUGUUUGAGAAUGCAGCCUAAAGCGGGUGGUAAACUCCACCUAAGACUAAAUACGGUCGCGAGACCGAUAGCGAACAAGUACCGUGAGGGAAAGUUGAAAAGCACUUUGGAGAGAGAGUUCAAAAGUACGUGAAACCGUCAAGAGGCAAACGGGAGAGCCCGUCCGGGCUCGGGUACGCUUUCAGUUGGGCGCGGAAGCGCGCUGCAGGCAGUUGUGCGGACGCUCGCGCGCCGUCUCUGUCGUAGCACGCACGCCGCUCCAGCGCACUAGCGUCCCGAGCAGGCCACGACCGGUUCGAAGUCGGCCAGAAGCGCCGCGCGAAGGUGACCCACGCUUCGGCGGGGGUGUUACAGCGCGCGUGCGUCGAGGCCCGGCUACGGAUCGAGGUUACGAGUCCGUGCGCGCCUUCCUUCGGGGAGGGUUGGCUGCGAGCGUCAGCCGGCAGGUCGCGUCGCGCGUCGAGUACCGUCCGCGGUGCUCGCGCGGGGCCGGCCGUCGGCAGGGCGACCCGUCAGU